RNAcentral lists this ribosomal RNA (497 nucleotides) under uncultured bacterium. RNAcentral's name for it is "partial 16S ribosomal RNA". It matches the Rfam family "Bacterial small subunit ribosomal RNA", at positions 28 to 507 of the family's 1533-position model. The record is from RNAcentral.
GAUGAACGCUGGCGGCGUGCCUAAUACAUGCAAGUCGAGCGAACAGACGAGGAGCUUGCUCCUCUGACGUUAGCGGCGGACGGGUGAGUAACACGUGGAUAACCUACCUAUAAGACUGGGAUAACUUCGGGAAACCGGAGCUAAUACCGGAUAAUAUAUUGAACCGCAUGGUUCAAUAGUGAAAGACGGUUUUGCUGUCACUUAUAGAUGGAUCCGCGCCGCAUUAGCUAGUUGGUAAGGUAACGGCUUACCAAGGCAACGAUGCGUAGCCGACCUGAGAGGGUGAUCGGCCACACUGGAACUGAGACACGGUCCAGACUCCUACGGGAGGCAGCAGUAGGGAAUCUUCCGCAAUGGGCGAAGGCCUGACGGAGCCACGCCGCGUGAGUGAUGAAGGUCUUCGGAUCGUAAAGCUCUGUUAUUAGGGAAGAACAAAUGUGUAAGUAACUAUGCACGUCUUGACGGUACCUAAUCAGAAAGCCACGGCUAACUACGUG